This 301-nucleotide ribosomal RNA is filed under the name uncultured bacterium. RNAcentral's name for it is "partial 16S ribosomal RNA". It matches the Rfam family "Bacterial small subunit ribosomal RNA", at positions 509 to 809 of the family's 1533-position model. The record is from RNAcentral.
CAGUCGCCGCGGGAAUACAGAGGGUGCAAGCGUUAAUCGGAUUUACUGGGCGUAAAGGGCGCGUAGGUGGUUAUGUAAGUGAGAUGUGAAAUCCCCGGGCUCAACCUGGGAACUGCAUCUUAUACUGCGUAGCUGGAGUGCAGUAGAGGGUAGUGGAAUUUCCGGUGUAGCGGUGAAAUGCGUAGAUAUCGGAAGGAACACCAGUGGCGAGGGCGGCUACCUGGACUGACACUGACACUGAGGCGCGAAAGCGUGGGGAGCAAACAGGAUUAGAUACCCCUGUAGUCCCUGUCUCUUAUAA